Balaenoptera ricei (Rice's whale) is the source of this 378-nucleotide long non-coding RNA. RefSeq lists it as uncharacterized. The record is from RefSeq and is a predicted model, not a curated record. Lineage: Eukaryota; Metazoa; Chordata; Mammalia; Artiodactyla; Balaenopteridae. The transcript has 3 exons.
GGAAGGAGACAGAAAGUCCUUCUUUCUUGUAGGGGCAGGAAAAGACAGAACCUGCCAUGGGGAGGGGUGUGGGUGCCCUCAGCCCAGGAGCCAUGGAGUUUGGGAGUGUGCUGGGGUAAUGUGGUCACAGGCGUUGAUGGAUCUGGGUGUACAGAGGAGAUGAGACUGGAGGUCUCCAGAAGCCACAUUGGGACCUUGGAAGGCGGUGCUCACAGAGGUUAAGAGCCAGGUCUCAGCUCAGAUGCCUCCUCCUCCAGGAAGCCUUCCCUGCCCCCUCCCCACAGGCUGAGUCAGGCACCCCUUGGGGCUCUCCCCGCCCAGCUUGCUCUGUGCCAUCCUGCCCUUCUGACUCCAGAGCCUUUGUUUAUGACCAGGAUU